Molecule: ribosomal RNA, 1523 nt
Filed under: uncultured rumen bacterium
Lineage: Bacteria
Description: bacterial SSU rRNA
Rfam family: Bacterial small subunit ribosomal RNA
Source: RNAcentral
AGAGUUUGAUCCUGGCUCAGGAUGAACGCUAGCUACAGGCCUAACACAUGCAAGUCGAGGGGCAGCAUGGAGCUUGCUUGCAAGCUCUGAUGGCGACCGGCGAAUGGGUGAGUCACGCGUGUCCAACCUGCCCCGCGCCCGGGGAUAGCCCUUGGAAAUGAGGAUUAAGACCCGAUACGUGCGUUGUCCGCAUGGACGCCGCAUGAAACCAGGCACGGGAUGGGGACGCGUCGGAUUAGCUUGACGGCGGGGCAACGGCCCACCGUGGCGACGAUCCGCAGGGGUUCUGAGAGGAAGGUCCCCCACACUGGCACUGAGACACGGGCCAGACUCCUACGGGAGGCAGCAGUGAGGAAUAUUGGUCAAUGGCCGAGAGGCUGAACCAGCCAAGUAGCGUGCAGGAUGACGGCCCUACGGGUUGUAAACUGCUUUUGCGGGAGGAUAAAGUGCGCCACGCGCUGGCGCUUUGCAGGUAUCCCGUGAAUAAGGACCGGCUAAUUCCGUGCCAGCAGCCGCGGUAAUACGGAAGGUCCAGGCGUUAUCCGGAUUUAUUGGGUUUAAAGGGAGCGCAGGCGGGCUGUCAAGCGUGCCGUGAAAUCGCGGGGCUCAACCCCGUUGAGCGGUACGAACUGGCGGUCUUGGUUGCGGGAAGGGGAGGCGGAACUCGUGGUGUAGCGGUGAAAUGCAUAGAUAUCACGAAGAACUCCGAUCGCGAAGGCAACCUCCCGGCCCGUCAACGACGCUCAUGCUCGAAGGCGCGGGUAUCAAACAGGAUUAGAUACCCUGGUAGUCCGCGCAGUAAACGAUGGACACUCGCGGUUUUGGCCCUUGUGGGCUGAGCCGCCCAGCGAAAGCGUUAAGUGUCCCACCUGGGGAGUACGCCGGCAACGGUGAAACUCAAAGGAAUUGACGGGGGGCCCGCACAAGCGGAGGAACAUGUGGUUUAAUUCGAUGAUACGCGAGGAACCUUACCCGGGCUUGAAAUGUGCAUGACGGGAGGCAGAGACGCCUCCUUCCUUCGGGCAUGCAUGUAGGUGCUGCAUGGUUGUCGUCAGCUCGUGCCGUGAGGUGUCGGCUUAAGUGCCAUAACGAGCGCAACCCCUUCCGCCGGUUACCAUCGGGUCAUGCCGGGGACUCCGGCGGCACUGCCGCCGCAAGGCGCGAGGAAGGCGGGGAUGACGUCAAAUCAGCACGGCCCUUACGUCCGGGGCCACACACGUGUUACAAUGGGGGGCACAGCGAGCUGGACCAGGGCGACCUGGUUCGAAUCAUGAAAUCCCCUCCCAGUUCGGACUGGAGUCUGCAACCCGACACCACGAAGCCGGAUUCGCUAGUAAUCGCGCAUCAGCCAUGGCGCGGUGAAUACGUUCCCGGGCCUUGUACACACCGCCCGUCAAGCCAUGAAAGCCUGGGGCGCCUGAAGUCCGUUGCGGCGACGCGCGGCCGAGGGCGAUACAGGUGAUUGGGGCUAAGUCGUAACAAGGUAGCCGUACCGGAAGGUGCGGCUGGAUCACCUCCUUUCU